AGAGUUUGAUCCUGGCUCAGGACGAACGCUGGCGGCGCGCCUAACACAUGCAAGUCGAACGAGAGAGAGGGAACUUGCUUCCUUGAUCGAGUGGCGAACGGGUGAGUAACGCGUGAGGAACCUGCCUCAAAGAGGGGGACAACAGUUGGAAACGACUGCUAAUACCGCAUAAGCCCACGACCCGGCAUCGGGAANAGGGAAAAGGAGCAAUCCGCUUUGAGAUGGCCUCGCGUCCGAUUAGCUAGUUGGUGAGGUAAUGGCCACCAAGGCGACGAUCGGUAGCCGGACUGAGAGGUUGAACGGCCACAUUGGGACUGAGACACGGCCCAGACCUCCUACGGGAGGCA
RNAcentral lists this ribosomal RNA (347 nucleotides) under uncultured bacterium. Its description in RNAcentral is "bacterial SSU rRNA". It matches the Rfam family "Bacterial small subunit ribosomal RNA", at positions 8 to 350 of the family's 1533-position model. The record is from RNAcentral.